RNAcentral lists this ribosomal RNA (255 nucleotides) under uncultured bacterium. Its description in RNAcentral is "partial 16S ribosomal RNA". It matches the Rfam family "Bacterial small subunit ribosomal RNA", at positions 524 to 776 of the family's 1533-position model. The record is from RNAcentral.
GACGAACCGUGCGAACGUUAUUCGGAAUCACUGGGCUUAAAGCGCGUGUAGGCGGGCCGGCACGUCGGUCGCUGAAAUCCCCCGGCUCAACCGGGGAAGGGGCGCCGAUACGACCGGCCUGGAGGGACGUAGGGGGGGGCCGGAACUUCCGGUGGAGCGGUGAAAUGCGUUGAGAUCGGAAGGAACGCCCGUGGCGAAAGCGGGCCCCUGGACGUCUACUGACGCUGAGACGCGAAAGCCAGGGGAGCGAACGGG